UAAGAAGGUGAACUGGGUAUUGUUGCUUGCUCCUUUCCCCAGUGUGGCCAUUUUGAAUAAACAUCCUUUCUCUGCUUUUGGUUUCUUCCCUUCCCUUGUGUGACGGUGGACAGCUGACCACACCUAGCUUGUUAGGGCUGCCAGGUCCUGAGGCUUCGACCCUUAAAAUUCUCACUGACUGCUCUUCUGAAGGUCCUGAGUUCAAAUCCCAGCAACUAUCUGGUGGCUCACAACCAUCCGUGAUGAGAUCUGAUGCCCUCUUCCGGUGUGUCUGAAGACAGGUACAGCGUACAUACGUAUAAUAAAUCUUUGGGCGAGCAGAGGUCCUAAAAAUUCAAUUCCCAACAACCACAUGAAGGCUCACCACCAUCUGUACAGCUACAGUGUACUCACAUAAGAUAAAUAAAUAAAUCUUUAAAAAAGGACAAUUGCCAAAAAAAAAAAAAAAAGAAUUUUAAGGGUCGAAGCCUCAACAAGCUAGGCGUGGUCAGCUGUCCACUGUCACACAAGGGAAGAGAAGAAACUGAAACCAGAGAAAGGAUAUUUAUUCAGUGGCCACACUGGGGAAGGGAGCAAGCAAGGAUGCUCAGUUCAUCUUUGGAUUGUUACUGUGCAGUUUAGGCUAAAACAGGGCAGGAGGAUCCCUGCUCAGGGUAUGUCCCCUGCCAUUUGGUCCAUUGUUGUCUUGGCUCUAGUCUGUCUUACAAGGUGGCCAGUCCAAUUGUGAAACUUGUUCCUGGGAUACAAGUUCUUCCUCUGGCUGGCCCGGGCUUCACAGCCCUCCUAAGGUAAGAAUUCAGGAGAAAGUCCAUUUCUUUGGGAUCUAUUAUCUCCACAGUCGGAUAGUCAAAGGGAAGGACUCGAAUGUCUCCUUGGGAUACCCUCACUCCUUCCACAGAUUCGAGGGAGCGUCGGUCAAAUCUUUGUUGCCUUUGGACAGCUGGGCUGCAGUUUUCAACAUCGCUGCAGUGAACAUUCACACCCACAGAUAUCCUCACAUGACUUCAAGGACAACUGUGGGAAAACAUUUUGUAUAUUGCUUUGUCAAAAAUAUGAACGUGGUACUGGCGGAGAUGGCUCUGUGGGUAAGGGUACCUGCUCCAGGCACUCGAGCACGCUCGUACACGUGCUCGUACACCGAGGUUACCCAUCACAGGUUAUUUCUUGAGCUGCUUGUAAUCCACUAAAAGGAUGCAUAGGAAGGGUGCCUAGGAUACGUUACUGUACAGAUAGAGCCAGCCAGACCUAGACAGACAUUCUUCUUCGCAAGCACUGUACUUGUUGCUAGUACAGUUGCUAGGACUCCCUCCCUUGUCAAUCAUAAUUUGACCCAAUCAAAGGGGGUAGAGAGUGCCCGCCCAGUCCUGGGACCUGUCUAGGACUGGGGACCCAGUCCGUCUGCAAGUUACCUUCGGCCGUUCGCCAACCAGAAUGGUUUUUAAGGAUGCAAGCAAAGCCAAAUCCUGUUUCCUUAUCAUACUAUUGACAGUUUGGUUCUUGGAGCUUGAAGACCCCAAACUUAGAGUUGUCAGUUGUAAACCAGGCCUCCCUUUGCUUUGGUUCGCUUGCGGAACAGUUCUGAGUGCUGGGGGAAGCCUGUUUCCUUUCACACAGGGUGCUAAUGAACAGUGAGAUCAGGGGUCCCCUAAGCCCGUCAGAAAACAGAUAUUACAUUAUGAUUCACAACAGUAGCAAACUUACAGUUAUGAAGUAGCAACGAAAAUGAUUUUGUGCUGGGGGUGGGGAGGGGUGGGCGGGUCACCGCAGCCUGGAGGACUGUAAGCAAAGGUGGAGGCUGUUAGAAGGCUGCUACACUGAGCUGGUUGGGGGCAGGUGUUCAGGGGAUGGAGGCCUCUCCCCUCUGGAUGCACCACUCACUCAGAGCCACCCCCAGAGCCCUGCCCUAUUGGGUUUUUUUUGCAGGCUUUAUUAUGUAUAGUCAAAAACAAAAUUACAAUGAUUUAGUUACAGGUGUAACUGCCUUUAGUUUGAGAUUCCUGAAUGAGAACCCCUCCCCUCCCACUCCCCUGGGCAGUGCUGAACAGUGGGGUUUGUGAGGUGGGAACAAGGAAACAGAAAAACAAAAAACCCCCGUUAGCAUCAUCGGGUAAGCCAGAUUUUUUUUUUUUUUUGCUGGGGUGGAUGUGGAGAACACUUCCUUAUGGAGAUGACUGGAGGAGGCCGAAGGGGAAAACUGGUCUGUCAGGGAAACUGCCUUCUUUAACAUUAGAGUUAAGAGGAGUGACUCUAGUCUGGUUUGAUCUGGUAUGGAGAGGAGGGACCCUCAAGUCACCUUUGUCC
Molecule: long non-coding RNA, 2301 nt
Filed under: Mus musculus (house mouse)
Lineage: Eukaryota; Metazoa; Chordata; Mammalia; Rodentia; Muridae
Description: long non-coding RNA chr17:70862981-70865282
Source: RNAcentral